AUGGAAAUGGAAAGGUCACUGAACGCAGUGUUUGUGUGUGUUAGAUUAUCAAGCCUUUCUUCCCCAAAAUCACGAUCUAUUCUUCAUUCAGAACUCAAUGUCGCCGUUCUUCUUCAUCAUAGAAAUCGCGACUCCAUACUUUUCUCUGAUCGAAACAUAACGCUUCCGUACCUCAAUCUUCUUCCACUUCAAUCACGAUGA
This is a non-coding RNA of Vicia faba (fava bean), 201 nucleotides long. The record is from the annotation of a GenBank genome assembly. NCBI's taxonomy places the organism in Eukaryota, Viridiplantae, Streptophyta, Magnoliopsida, Fabales, Fabaceae.